This 521-nucleotide ribosomal RNA is filed under the name uncultured Archaeospora. RNAcentral's name for it is "SSU rRNA". It matches the Rfam family "Eukaryotic small subunit ribosomal RNA", at positions 569 to 1092 of the family's 1831-position model. The record is from RNAcentral. Lineage: Eukaryota; Fungi; Glomeromycota; Glomeromycetes; Archaeosporales; Archaeosporaceae.
AGCAGCCGCGGUAAUUCCAGCUCCAAUAGCGUAUAUUAAAGUUGUUGCAGUUAAAAAGCUCGUAGUUGAAUUUUGGAUUCUUCCAAUUGGUCCAUCUUUUAGAUGAGUACUGGUUGUGUGGGGUCUAUCCGCCUGGUGAUACGUAAUGUCCUUUAUUGGAUGUUUCGGGUAGUCAGGACCUUUACCUUGAAAAAAUUAGAGUGUUUAAAGCAGGCUUAUGCCGGAAUACAUUAGCAUGGAAUAAUAGAAUAGGACGAAGUUGUUUUAUUUUGUUGGUUUCUAGGACAACCGUAAUGAUUAAUAGGGAUAGUUGGGGGCAUUAGUAUUCAAUUGUCAGAGGUGAAAUUCUUGGAUUUAUUGAAGACUAACUACUGCGAAAGCAUUUGCCAAGGAUGUUUUCAUUAAUCAAGAACGAAAGUUAGGGGAUCGAAGACGAUCAGAUACCGUCGUAGUCUUAACCAUAAACUAUGCCGACUAGGGAUCGGGCGAUGUUGUUUCCAUAACUCGCUCGGCACCUUAUG